GAUGAACGCUGGCGGCGUGCCUAAUACAUGCAAGUCGAGCGAACGGACGAGAAGCUUGGUUCUCUGAUGUUAGCGGCGGACGGGUGAGUAACACGUGGAUAACCUACCUAUAAGACUGGGAUAACUUCGGGAAACCGGAGCUAAUACCGGAUAAUAGUUUGAACCGCAUGGUUCAAAAGUGAAAGACGGUCUUGCUGUCACUUAUAGAUGGAUCCGCGCUGCAUUAGCUAGUUGGUAAGGUAACGGCUUACCAAGGCAACGAUGCAUAGCCGACCUGAGAGGGUGAUCGGCCACACUGGAACUGAGACACGGUCCAGACUCCUACGGGAGGCAGCAGUAGGGAAUCUUCCGCAAUGGGCGAAAGCCUGACGGAGCAACGCCGCGUGAGUGAUGAAGGUCUUCGGAUCGUAAAACUCUGUUAUUAGGGAAGAACAUAUGUGUAAGUAACUGUGCACAUCUUGACGGUACCUAAUCAGAAAGCCACGGCUAACUCCGUG
RNAcentral lists this ribosomal RNA (497 nucleotides) under uncultured bacterium. Its description in RNAcentral is "partial 16S ribosomal RNA". It matches the Rfam family "Bacterial small subunit ribosomal RNA", at positions 28 to 507 of the family's 1533-position model. The record is from RNAcentral.